GGGUUGUGAGGUUAAGCGACUAAGCGUACACGGUGGAUGCCCUGGCAGUCAGAGGCGAUGAAGGACGUGCUAAUCUGCGAUAAGCGUCGGUAAGGUGAUAUGAACCGUUAUAACCGGCGAUUUCCGAAUGGGGAAACCCAGUGUGUUUCGACACACUAUCAUUAACUGAAUCCAUAGGUUAAUGAGGCGAACCGGGGGAACUGAAACAUCUAAGUACCCCGAGGAAAAGAAAUCAACCGAGAUUCCCCAAGUAGCGGCGAGCGAACGGGGAGCAGCCCAGAGCCUGAAUCAGUGUGUGUGUUAGUGGAAGCGUCUGGAAAGGCGCGCGAUACAGGGUGACAGCCCCGUACACAAAAAUGCACAUGCUGUGAGCUCGAUGAGUAGGGCGGGACACGUGGUAUCCUGUCUGAAUAUGGGGGGACCAUCCUCCAAGGCUAAAUACUCCUGACUGACCGAUAGUGAACCAGUACCGUGAGGGAAAGGCGAAAAGAACCCCGGCGAGGGGAGUGAAAAAGAACCUGAAACCGUGUACGUACAAGCAGUGGGAGCACGCUUAGGCGUGUGACUGCGUACCUUUUGUAUAAUGGGUCAGCGACUUAUAUUCUGUAGCAAGGUUAACCGAAUAGGGGAGCCGAAGGGAAACCGAGUCUUAACUGGGCGUUAAGUUGCAGGGUAUAGACCCGAAACCCGGUGAUCUAGCCAUGGGCAGGGUGAAGGUUGGGUAACACUAACUGGAGGACCGAACCGACUAAUGUUGAAAAAUUAGCGGAUGACUUGUGGCUGGGGGUGAAAGGCCAAUCAAACCGGGAGAUAGCUGGUUCUCCCCGAAAGCUAUUUAGGUAGCGCCUCGUGAAUUCAUCUCCGGGGGUAGAGCACUGUUUCGGCAAGGGGGUCAUCCCGACUUACCAACCCGAUGCAAACUGCGAAUACCGGAGAAUGUUAUCACGGGAGACACACGGCGGGUGCUAACGUCCGUCGUGAAGAGGGAAACAACCCAGACCGCCAGCUAAGGUCCCAAAGUCAUGGUUAAGUGGGAAACGAUGUGGGAAGGCCCAGACAGCCAGGAUGUUGGCUUAGAAGCAGCCAUCAUUUAAAGAAAGCGUAAUAGCUCACUGGUCGAGUCGGGCCUGCGCGGAAGAUGUAACGGGGCUAAACCAUGCACCGAAGCUGCGGCAGCGAC
This 1180-nucleotide ribosomal RNA is filed under the name Escherichia coli. RNAcentral describes it as "partial 23S ribosomal RNA". It matches the Rfam family "Bacterial large subunit ribosomal RNA", at positions 1 to 1212 of the family's 2925-position model. Lineage: Bacteria; Pseudomonadati; Pseudomonadota; Gammaproteobacteria; Enterobacterales; Enterobacteriaceae. The record is from RNAcentral.